This is an RNA transcript of Jatropha curcas, 3024 nucleotides long. It is a transcript of the gene named neurofilament light protein, with no coding region annotated. NCBI's taxonomy places the organism in Eukaryota, Viridiplantae, Streptophyta, Magnoliopsida, Malpighiales, Euphorbiaceae. The record is from RefSeq and is a predicted model, not a curated record.
CGAUUGAAAGAAAAAUGCUCGAGUCUAGACAGACAGGAGACAGUGGAGGAGGAAGAAACCGGAGUAGAGGGAGUUUGUCUGAUUCAGCUAUUGAUACUAAUUUUGAAAUACAUAAUUAUUCAAAUAAUUGAUAAAAUGGAGGAGGAUGAUAUGGAUUCGCUCUUUGAGGGGAUGGUGUUGUUUACGCCUUCCCAAUUGGUUGAUGAUCAAAAGAAGCAGCAGCAGCAAGAAAAGGAUGAUGAUCAUCAUCAUAAUAACGAUUCAGCAGAAAUCUCGCUCCCUCCUCGUGAAUCUGAAUCUCGACUUGAUGCUGCUACUGCCACCAUUAAAACUGACCCGCCAUCUCAACAUAAGGUCCAGGAGCCUCUCGACGAGAACCUAUUCUCUGACCUCACCCUCCAAACCCUAACUACAGAAUCAGAUUCCCUUCCUACUGCUGCUACUCUUCAAACAGCAACCAACUCUCGUCAGAUAUCCAGAAAGAAGAAGAAAGCUGCAAGCCUUAGAAUCGGCUAUGGUAGAGGAGGAUCCUCUAUCGAUGAUCUGCCUGCUAGUCCCUCUGAAGAUCAAAAUCUAAGUCUUAAAGAUGAUGACUCUACUGCAUCCAAUGAUAUUAUUCAUGAUGAUGAUAAAUCCGAUCUCGAUGCUUCCCAAUCCCAAUCCCCCACUUCUACGUCUUUAGUCGCAGAAUUGGAUGUCAGUGCGUGUUCGAUCCCAGAUUCACAAUCACUAUCAAAAGAUGAUGAAUAUGAGCUCAUCAAGGCCCAAAUUUCUGAGAAGCUCCACCGCUCUCGUCAGUUAGCUGCCUCUGUUUCUUCAGCUCGCAAGGAUGCCAUCAGGAGGAGAAGAGCAGCUACUGAGGAUCUCAAUUCAGCCUCUGCCAAGCACAGGGACCUCGAAUUACAGUUGGAGGCUGCCUGUGAAGCCGAAGAUUUCGAGGCCGCCGAAAGGAUUAGCGACAGGCUUGCCACCACUGACAAGGAGAGGCAAGCUCUUCUCUCUGCUCUUAGAGACGCUGAAGCCCAUUGUGAUGCCAUCGAUUCUAAGAUGCACGAUGUUCUGAACUCUCAGAUUCUUGCUGAGCAAGAAUGCGCAACUGUUCUCUCUAAUUUUGCCAAGGAUGCAGAAAAAAACGCAGAUUUAGUCUCGGAGAAAGCACAAGUACUCUCUUCAAAAGAAAUGGAUGAAUGGUUCUUGUCGAGUGAGGCCUUGGAGGCCAAGAAGAUGGAGUUGGAUGUCGAAUUACACUUCAUAAAUGAAGCACGUCUUGCUGUGAAUGAUUCCAUAGAGCAUUCAAUUGAGGACUAUAGGAAGGAGCAGGAACGUCUACAUGAGAAAAAAGAUGUUCUAACCGAUGAACUCCAGAAAUUACUCGCCUUGGUCAAAGACAAGGAAAAGGAGAUAGCAGAAAAUGAUUCUAAAAUCAAAACAAUUGAAGAAAGGAUUGCUGAUGUGGUCUCUGGUUUUCAGGACAGUCAAUCCAGCAUUGAGGCCAAAUAUGAUAACUUGCAAUUGGAACUUUCUCAGAUUCAUUUUCAUAGUGAAGCUUUAUCAAUAAAAAAGAAGGAAAUUGAUAAGUUACUUGCUGAAGGUGAAGACCUUGGAGCCAAUCUAAAGGAACUAGCCAGAGUCUCUGAAGAUGAAGCAAAGGCAUACCAGGAAGUUGUUGAGCUCAGGAAAAGGCUGAUGUUGUCCAUUUUGAAUUCCAGGGAAGACAAAGUAAGGCUUGCAAAGGCCGAAGAGAAACUUAUUGAGGAUGUCCGAAUGCUCCAACAGGAUGUUUCUUCUUUAAGAGCCUCCUUACAGGAACUGUCUUCAACAAAAUCAAACAUCCAACAAUCUAUAGCAUCCUUCAAGCAGAGGAUCUUUUUCAUUGAUAAAAGAGUCCCAGAGCUGGAAUCUGAAAAGAAAGUUGCUGCUUCAACAAGAAAUUUCAAGGAAGCUGCACGAAUAGCUGCUGAGGCAAAGUCAUUGUAUGUUGAGAAGGAUGGUGUGCAGAUUGACUUGGAAAGAACUACAGCAGAGCUGGAGAAGUUAGAGGAAGAUAUGAAAAAUACUGUUAGUAGAUUGCUGGAUACUGAACACCUGAUUUCAUCCAAGGAAAAAGAGGUUGCAAUGGCUAGAUUUCAGAGGUUACUUUUAAUUGCUGGCGCUGCUACAGCAGAAAGGGUUUCGGCUUUAGAGCUCGGUGACUCUGAAGAAGCCAACCUCCUACUUGCAGAGGCAGAAGCAGCAAAUGCUGAAGCAAAAAAACUUCAACCUAUAUAUAAUUUCAACAAGGAACAGUUCCCAAAUUUACCAAAGCAUUUCAUCUCCAUGGAACUUGUAUUUAAUCUUGGCAGGAAGCAGUUAGCAGAUUUAGCGGCAUCUGUUGGUAUUUCUGCACCUCAAUGAUUACAAACUAGAGUGGAGUGGAUUUAGAGAGGAUCAGUGAAGAGAUAUUGGAGGUGCAACAUUAUUCCUAAUUUGUAGUGAGUAUCAGAAGCUAUGAAUGAUUUUGAAAUUGCUUUUGAUGGGACAGCUAGUUACGACCAUCAUCUCCAUGGCAUUGUAUGGUUCUUCAAAGGUGCAGAUGCCUUCAAAGAUGACAUUUGAUACAUCUUACAGUUUUGCUGAUCACAGGGGGAAGUUACAUUUUCGUCUGAUAAUAAAUGAUAAUGUCAGCCUAAACACUUGUACCUGUUUCAAAGGCAUACUCUCCACAUAACCCAUUCAUCAACGUGAAAGCAACACCAGAUCAGAACCUCAUGAGGCGAAAAUGCUUCUUCAGUUUAGAGCUGGUCAUGAACAGAAUUUUUGGGUGGUUGGUUAAGGUAUUGCCAAAACCAUUAGCUAGCCAUUGUCUUCUCAUCAUAUCCGACAAGAUAACUCGAAGCGAAAGUUUACCAAAUCCUGAGCAGACAAAAAUGACAAGGAAAAAAAAAAAUUCUCGUCACCAUUUCGCUUGAAACCAUAUUUUAUUUUUUUUGAACCAAAUGGAAUCAUUGAAUUCAAAGAAUUGAAUCGAAAUUGGUGAUUCAAGAA